GACGAACGCUGGCGGCGUGCUUAACACAUGCAAGUCGAACGGUGAAGCGCCUUCCUUUUUGGAGGGUGUGGAUGAGUGGCGAACGGGUGAGUAACACGUGAGUAACCUGCCCCCUUCUUCUGGAUAACCGCAUGAAAGUGUGGCUAAUACGGGAUAUUCUGGGUCUUUCGAUUGAUGGUUGUGGGAAGAAAUUGCUUCAGGCGGGGAUGGGCCCGCGGUCUAUUAGGUUGUUGGUGGGGUGGUGGCCCACCAAGGCGGUGACGGGUAGCCGGGCUGAGGGGGUGGACGGUCACUGGGGCUGAGACACGGCCCAGCCUCCUACGGGAGGCAGCAGUGGGGAUUAUUGAACAAUGGGAGCAAGCCUGAUGCAGCGACGCCGCGGGAGGGUUGGAGGCCUUCGGGUUGUGAACCUCUUUCGCCAGUGAAGCAGGCCUGCCUUGUUUGUGGGUGCGUUGACGGUAGCUGGAUAAGAAGAGCCGGCUAACUACGUG
RNAcentral lists this ribosomal RNA (491 nucleotides) under uncultured bacterium. Its description in RNAcentral is "partial 16S ribosomal RNA". It matches the Rfam family "Bacterial small subunit ribosomal RNA", at positions 28 to 507 of the family's 1533-position model. The record is from RNAcentral.